Long non-coding RNA from Oncorhynchus tshawytscha (Chinook salmon), 866 nucleotides. RefSeq lists it as uncharacterized. NCBI's taxonomy places the organism in Eukaryota, Metazoa, Chordata, Actinopteri, Salmoniformes, Salmonidae. The record is from RefSeq and is a predicted model, not a curated record. The transcript has 2 exons.
GGCGGCAGGUUUCCUUGAUUUUCAUACAAAAUGGCUGAAUUCACCGAGGCGUUCGUUGAUUGGUCCAGAUACUUGGAAGAACCCGAAAUGGGCGGGCACUUACGCCUAGCAUCGCAAUUUGAUUGGUUCAUUAAAGGGGCUGACUGAGGAGGAGCAGCUGUGUGAUUUCGGUAACUUCGGGACUCUGAACCAGACCUGGCUGGGUCAAAAUGUCAACGUUCUUCAUACUUCAGCAGCAGAUUAGCAUGUUGGAUACAAUGGAAACCAAUGGAAUUGUCAUUUAGGUACCAACUCCACGCUGGGUAAUCAAAAGCAUUUCACAGACUUUGACCCAGGUGUUUUUCGCUUGUUUUUGUUGUUGUUGUAUUAAGGGGUUUGAAACAGUUGUUACUAUUUCCAAUGCAUAAAAAAGCAGAGGUAGUAUAUGGUGUGUGGAUCUAACCCAUAAACAACCCCAGCUAACCCAAGACCAUCACACUCCCUGGUUCCAGUGAGAGAUCUGUAAUCUCUUUCUCUCUCUCUCUCUCUCUCCCUAACCCCACCUUCUCUCUCCACCUCCCUCUCCCCUUUCUAUUUCACUUCAUUCAACCUAUCCUCUCCAGUCUCCCUUCUCUCCCUCCUCCCUCCCUCUCUCAUCCCAGACCCCACCCUUUCUCUUUCCCCUAGUGUACACUGUAGAGCAGGGUAAUGGAACACACAGACACCAGAGAGUCUCUGGGAAUGGAAGGUUUAUUCUGCUGACGACAGGUUUCACCUUCCCUUCGAUCCCAAUAGAACCCAUUAUUACAUUCAUGUUAAGCAAUAUGCCGUGAUGAUGGAUAUAGUUAUCAAUGAUACUGAUCAGACCUGAUGAGAAGUAUUACGAU